Molecule: non-coding RNA, 90 nt
Filed under: Muribacter muris
Lineage: Bacteria; Pseudomonadati; Pseudomonadota; Gammaproteobacteria; Pasteurellales; Pasteurellaceae
Description: Actinobacillus muris TPP sequence
Rfam family: TPP riboswitch aptamer (THI element)
About the family: Vitamin B(1) in its active form thiamin pyrophosphate (TPP) is an essential coenzyme that is synthesised by coupling of pyrimidine and thiazole moieties in bacteria. The previously detected thiamin-regulatory element, thi box was extended, resulting in a new, highly conserved RNA secondary structure, the THI element, which is widely distributed in eubacteria and also occurs in some archaea.
Source: Rfam by way of RNAcentral
AUCGUUUAGUCGGGGUGCAAUUAUUGCUGAGAUUAUACCCGUGAACCUGAUUCAGUUAAUACUGACGUAGGGAACUAACUUCAAUACUGU